RNAcentral lists this ribosomal RNA (382 nucleotides) under uncultured bacterium. RNAcentral describes it as "bacterial SSU rRNA". It matches the Rfam family "Bacterial small subunit ribosomal RNA", at positions 28 to 415 of the family's 1533-position model. The record is from RNAcentral.
GACGAACGCUGGCGGCGUGCUUAACACAUGCAAGUCGAGCAGUAAGGCCCUUUCGGGGGUACACGAGCGGCGAACGGGUGAGUAACACGUGGGUGACCUGCCCUCAGCUCUGGGAUAAGCCUGGGAAACCGGGUCUAAUACUGGAUAUGACUCCAUGACGCAUGUUGUGGGGUGGAAAGCCUUGUGCGGCUGAGGAUGGGCCCGCGGCCUAUCAGCUUGUUGGNGGGUGAUGGCCUACCAAGGCGACGACGGGUAGCCGGCCUGAGAGGGCGACCGGCCACACUGGGACUGAGACACGGCCCAGACUCCUACGGGAGCAGCAGUGGGAUCUUGCGCAAUGGGCGAAAGCCUGACGCAGCGACGCCGCGUGAGGGAUGACGCU